AAAAGGCGUUUGAGUCGCGUGUCCUGGACCCGAAGCGGGAUGAUCUAGCCCUGAGCAGGUUGAAGCGCGGGUAAGACCGCGUGGAGGACCGAACCCACCUGGGUUGAAAACCGGGGGGAUGACUUGGGGCUAGGGGUGAAAGGCCAAUCAAAUUCCGUGAUAGCUGGUUCUCUCCGAAAUGCAUUUGGGUGCAGCGUCGGGUCAUUACGUCCCGGGGGUAGAGCUACUGGAUGCUUGCGGGCCCGUAUCGGGUACCAACAGCAACCAAACUCCGAAUACCGGUGACGCGUAUCCCGGCAGUGAGUCGGCGGGGGAUAAGCUUCGUCGUCGAAAGGGAAACAGCCCAGACCGUCGUCUAAGGUCCCGAAGCGUGUGCUAAGUGGGAAAGGAUGUGGAGUCGCAUAGACAGCCAGGAGGUUGGCUCAGAAGCAGCCACCCUUGAAAGAGUGCGUAACAGCUCACUGGUCUAGUGGUUCCGCGCCGACAAUGUAGCGGGGCUCAAGCACACCACCGAAGACGCGGCAGUAUUUUGUACUGGGUAGGAGAGCGUCCCAUGAGGGGCGAAGCGGCCGUGUGAACGCGCCGUGGACUUCAUGGGAGUGAGAAUGCAGACAUGAGUAGCGAGAGACGGGUGAAGAUCCCGUCCGCUGGAUGACCAAGGGUUCCAGGGCCACGUUCAUCGUCCCUGGGUGAGUCGGGUCCUAAGGCGAGGCCGACAGGCGUAGUCGAAUGGAUGAACGGGUCGAUAUUCCCGUACCGGCUUUCAGCCGCCAAAACCGAGGCUUGGAGUACUAACCUCCGGGUCCGGGCUUACUGCUCCUUCGGGGGCGGGAUGCCCUGGCCUGUUGGGACCGAUCCUUGUAGUAGGUCAGCGCAGGAGUGACGCAGAAGGGUAGCCGGCCGCGGAGGUGGUCUUCCGUGGUCAAGCACGCAGGGCGUGGGACAGGCAAAUCCGUCCCGCAUGGGUCCGAGGUGCGAUGAUGGGGGCCUUAUGGCCCGAUAUCCGGUGAUCCCGGCUGCCGAGAAAAGCUUCGGCGUCAGGCUCAAAGCCGCCCGUACCCCAAACCGACACUGGUGGUCAGGUAGAGAAUACCAAAGCGAUCGAGCGAAUCCUGGUCAAGGAACUCGGCAAAUCACUCCCGUUCCUUCGGUUUAAGGGAGACCCCCGAUGGUGAACACACUUGCUGUGGGAGCUUUUGGGGGUGGCACAGACCAGGGGGUAGCGACUGUUUACCAAAAACACAGGUGCAUGCGAAGGCGCAAGCCGCUGUAUAUGCACUGACGCCUGCCCGGUGCCGGAAGGUUAAGAGGAUCCGUCAGCCUUCGGGUGAAGCGGUGAAUUCAAGCCCCGGUAAACGGCGGUGGUAACUAUAACCAUCCUAAGGUAGCGAAAUUCCUUGUCGGGUAAGUUCCGACCUGCACGAAUGGCGUAACGACUUCCCCACUGUCUCGACCAGGAGCUCGGCGAAAUUGCAGUACGAGUAAAGAUGCUCGUUAAGCGCAGAAGGACGAAAAGACCCCGGGACCUUUACUAUACCUUGGUAUUGGCAUUCGGUGUGGAUUGUGUAGCAUAGGCGGGAGGCCGAGAGGCGCGGUCGCCAGAUCGCGCGGAGCCGUAAGGUGAAAUACCGCUCUGUUCGCAUUGGAUGUCUAACCUCGAACAGUCAUCCUGUUCAGGGACAGUGCCUGGCGGGUAGUUUAACUGGGGCGGUUGCCUCCCAAAGAGUAACGGAGGCGCCCAAAGGUCCGCUCAGCCCGGUUGGCAAUCGGGUGGCGAGUGCAAGUGCACAAGCGGGCUUGACUGCGAGGACGACGGUCCGAGCAGGGACGAAAGUCGGGACUAGUGAUCCGGUGCCGGUGUACGGACGCGGCAUCGCUCAACGGAUAAAAGGUACCCCGGGGAUAACAGGCUGAUCAUUCC
This 1921-nucleotide ribosomal RNA is filed under the name human gut metagenome. RNAcentral describes it as "bacterial LSU rRNA". It matches the Rfam family "Bacterial large subunit ribosomal RNA", at positions 687 to 2492 of the family's 2925-position model. The record is from RNAcentral.